RNAcentral lists this ribosomal RNA (419 nucleotides) under bacterium. Its description in RNAcentral is "partial 16S ribosomal RNA". It matches the Rfam family "Bacterial small subunit ribosomal RNA", at positions 355 to 776 of the family's 1533-position model. The record is from RNAcentral.
UGGGGGAUAUUGCACAAUGGGCGAAAGCCUGAUGCAGCGACGCCGCGUGGGGGAUGAAGGCCUUCGGGUUGUAAACUUCUUUUGCUCUGAACAAGGCAUGCUAAUGGGUGUGUUGAGUGUAGGGGUUGAUUAGCGCCGGCUAACUACGUGCCAGCAGCCGCGGUAAUACGUAGGGCGCGAGCGUUGUCCGGAAUUAUUGGGCGUAAAGGGCUUGUAGGUGGCUGGUUGCGUCUGUCGUGAAAGCUCAUGGCUUAACUGUGGGUCUGCGGUGGGUACGGGCUGGCUUGAGUGCAGUAGGGGAGGCUGGAAUUCCUGGUGUAGCGGUGGAAUGCGCAGAUAUCAGGAGGAAUACCGGUGGCGAAGGCGGGUCUCUGGGCUGUUACUGACACUGAGGAGCGAAAGCAUGGGGAGCGAACAGG